CGUCCACAUACAUUAUGUUGCACACAAUCACAGGAGAUCACCAGACUGCGUAUGUUUACUUAUAAAGAUUUCUACACAGAAAGAUUUGUGCGGUCGUGAUACUUCUGGUAGGGAUCAUCAACGUACCAAUUUCUUCUUUUCCAGAAAGAAGUGGUCAUUUUAUCCAGGAGUUUACACUGUGUUCUAUUGCACAACACAAACUCUCUCAAGCGUUUCUUCUGGGCAGUAGACUUCUUCCACAGUUUCUUCUUGUAACCAGACUUUCUCCUAACCCAAAGACCAUUGUGCAGUCGGAGAAACCUCUUAACAACAGCUUUCACACUCUUCCUCUUUCCCUUCCGUAAACCAUAAUAAGUGAGGGGCCUCACGGGCUGCUCAAGUAUGCUUGGAAGUAGAGGUGUGAGUCUGCUGAGCAGCGCGGAGGAGCCCCCGCCGGGCACGAUCCUGAGGGACAGCGGUUUCCCCAACGGAGUCGCUGCCCGCGCUGGGCUGUGGCAGCACCGGACGGACGCAGUUCGCCACGCAGCCAGGGGGGCCCAACGCGCCAGCGGCCGCAGCAUCCGGCAGCCGGCGGAGGUCAGCAGGAGCCGCACUCCUCCCAGCGGGAACGCGGCGCUCUGCAGCCGUCCGGCGGCGCGGCCCCCUCCG
This 648-nucleotide long non-coding RNA is filed under the name Gallus gallus (chicken). Lineage: Eukaryota; Metazoa; Chordata; Aves; Galliformes; Phasianidae. The record is from RNAcentral.